GUCUCUCUCUCUCUCUAACGCUUGCUCUCCCUUCUCUCUAGAACCUUCUGGUUCUUUCCUUCUUCUCCGACGAGCUUCAUCGUCUCUCCGACCAUAUUUCGUCCUCACUUCUCUCGACCUUUAGUCACCAUGGAAUCCUAUAUCGGCUUCUCUCUAAGGUUUGAAGCCCCAGAAGCUUCCACAAUGAAAAAUGGUCACUGAAGCCUCGUCGGGGUCCAUUUCCGGCCUUUCUCUGAUGUGUUUGGUCUGAUGGUGCUUUAACUCCAUUAACCUUGAGUUUCACAGCCAGGUUUCUCUUACUUCUCUCAUUGGUUUCUUAUGAAACCCUAAUCUUGACCCAAACCUCUCAAAUUUGUGAUUUUUAACGAUUUUAACUCAUACCUUUAUGUUUUGUACUAUUUUCUACUCGAUCUUUACGUUUACUCUAGUUUUAAACGUUUUUGUUCCCUUAUUUAAACUAGGUUUUCUAAACCCCUUUUUGAAAUUACUUUACUUUCUGAUUUUGAGUACUAAUUCGUGAUUCUUCUAAAUAUUUUGCUUAAGUAUGAUUAAACCCUAGCCUUAUAUGUAUAUGUUUGGAUUAUUUACUUGAUUGUGUGUUCUUAUGGGUUCUUCUCUAAGUUCCGUGUUCUUUGCUUUAAUUUUAGUUACUAGUGUUUUUCUGCGUAUUGUCCUUAUAGUUUGGGAUAAAUUUCAAAUUUCUUCCUCAAUCCGUCUGAUACUUUCAUCAAUUAAUACUGGUCUCCUAAGUUUUCAAUCUCAUUCCUUAUGUUUGGGGAUUAUUGUCCAGAAUUGGAGCAGUAUCUCGCCCUAUAUGUGUGCAUGCGUAUGUUCAUUGAUUUUCCUGACAUAUUUCCAUAAUUAGAAUAUCAUGAACCUAGUCUUUAUUGCAUACUUUAUGCUUUCUGUUCCUUAUGUGAUCGUACCUUGUGAUUUCUUUCCUUUUAAAUAGCUGCUUAUUACCGUUUGACUUUGAUUCCUUAAUUAAAGGGGAGUCCAUAUCCUAAUUUGAUUAUGAUAGAUGUCAGUUCUUUAAUUAGGGAUUGCUACCUUGUUUGUUUACUCGUAUUCAGUAAAAUAAGUACCCUCCCCCAUUCUCUUUUGCAUAAAACCAACACAUUGCAUAUCACUUGACACACAGAGACACGAAUAAACUCAGUGUUAUGAACUCUCUCUCUUUCAAACAAACAUUUUUGGUGCGCUUUGUUGUUUCUACACAACUUCUUUCACUUUCCUGUUGAAUGCUGAUCACUCAAUUGGCUGCAAUCCAAGAUUGAGUGUUCCUGGUGACUUUUACCACCCUGCUCACCUCUACUGUGUUACUUCUUUGGGUCUGCCUGCUGCUCGCUUCUUUCAUACUUCUGCCCUGCUCUCUGCUUCUCUGCACACUAUUGCUCACUUCUCGGCACGAUAUUUCUCACUAUUUCUCUGUGUUACCAAUUUUUUCAACUGGUAUGUAUCUUGUUUAAGUUACAACCUCAAAAACAAUAUGCUUCAAUUGGUGCUGCACUUUCUUUUGUUCCUUGUGUGCUUCUAUUUGUGGUUCUGUUGUUCCUAUUGAAACUAGCAUGUAUCUGUACUAAUUAGUAAGCCCAACAUGUUCACCCCUUUCCUACCCCUAAUGCAUGUUUCCCCUUUGCUUCUGUAUUCUACUAGCAUCCUCUGGGCUACUCCAUAGCCCUAAAACACCUUCCUGAGGAUGAUUUGGUUGGGUGUCUGGUGCUGUAAGAGUUGGACUCCUGUUUGAAGCAUGAACUCUCCUUUAAUGUGUGUGACUGAUUGUCUUGUUUCUGAGCUGUUUCUUCCCAUUAUAAUGUUCACUUAAUGUCCAUUUAAAGAUAAAGUUUACUCCCCAUUUUCCCUUU
This 1865-nucleotide long non-coding RNA is filed under the name Nicotiana benthamiana. RNAcentral's name for it is "long non-coding RNA (NBEN_LNC032205)". The record is from RNAcentral. Lineage: Eukaryota; Viridiplantae; Streptophyta; Magnoliopsida; Solanales; Solanaceae.